GAAGGCCUAUUUGUCUGUUGUUGAUAAAGUUUUUUGUUAUUCGAUCCCGGAUGUUCCUGAGGCCAUUCGUUACUGAAUCCCUUCUAUUCCUGAGGCCUGCCGCUUUUCUAUGCUUAUUGUUCAAGCAAUUUGUGCUUGCUGUUCAAACAAUCUGAAUAUGAAGACCACUGCUUCAAUCGAUUAACCCAUGAACCUGACGACCUCAAGAUCCAACUCGUUCGUUUAUGCAACUCAUUGUUCAAACUCCAGAUGCUUUGUGUCAAGCAUCUUGAGUAUGAAGGAGAUAUAUAUCUUAAUCUUAUCAAGAGAUAUGUAUCCAUACAAAUGCAUAUCUGUACUGAUAUGUAUCAAUAUGAUACAUAUCCAUAUCCAUACGUUAACAUGUUUAUCCAGGUUUCACGUGUAAAUAUAGCACCCCACCGUAGGGCUUGUCAAGCUUAAAUUUGUAUAAAUCCGGUUUGAAAUAACCUCCCUAGGUUGUAUUUGACAAUCUGAGAAAGGGGAUCGGCACACAGAAUCGGAACUCUUUUAUCCUUUGUCAAGGGUAAGCUAAAAAGCAUCUACUUUUGGGAUGUCCUCGGGUCUUUGUAAGGCUCAAAGCCUUCAGAGAGUAUUCUAGAACAAUUCUUUAACCUACCUAGGGCUGUUGAAGAAAGCGUAUCAAGACCCCAAAGGGUAUUGGAAAAUUUUGGGCUCUAUCUGAACCCUGUCUAGUCUUUACGACACAUUUCACGUCUGGCGACGCACUUCGCGUUGCUGCUCACAGCAGAGCCUUUGAAUUUUCUAGUGGCCCUAUUUCAUCAGAGAUGUUUGUUCCCCUUCCACUUUCAGCUUUCAAUCUUUGAUAAUUGCAAAAGAAUAAAAGAUCAGGUAGUAUAUUUCUUACUUUAUCUCUGUUAUAUCUGCUCACUUUUGUGCUUUACCUACCAUAUUUCAUCUUCCCGAAUAUAUUGCGUGCAAUCUUUUACUUGAAAAGAAUAUCUUCUUAUGUAUUUUAUCGUGUGUAGGUGUUCCAUUUAGCACCUAUUGCACUAAAUGCUCUUCUCCACAUCCUUGAACAUAUCAACUGGGAAACUCGAAAAAUUAUUUCUAGCUUUAGAAAACCCCCUGAAAUUGGCACUGAAGUUCGUGAGGGGCACCUAGCCUAAUAGAGUUGGGACGGUCGGGAAUCACGCAACUUUCAUUUGAGCACCCAACUGAUCCAUGCUCUCAGGGCAGCACACAUAUAGUAGAACCGGAGUACUCCGUUCACAGGAGGCUCAGGCCUAUUUGGGUACCCAGAUAAACCUAGCUUCAUUUUAGUAUUUUGGAACCCCACCAAACCCAGCCUUACCCUAGUAAUAUAGGUCAAAUUAUUCAAUCAUUUAGUCUUGUGUCUAGCUCAUUAGGUUGGACAUAGGUCAACCCUCCUGUCUUACAACCAAAUUGGGGCAAGUCCUGGCGCACACUAUGAGUAUGUGGCCUAGUCAUGAGCCUGGUCCAAGGCAUUUCCGUUGGUCCGACGGGCACCUCGCCCUCCAGACCCAUGAGACCCGAGUAGGUGAGUUGAACCUCAACACACAUGCAAACAUUUUUAACCCUAAUCACCAAGUUUGUGGCUCCUAUAUUAUAAGAUUAAAAAAUAAUAAUUUUUCAUAUAAGUAAAAUUAGUAUCAUAUCAAACAUUUAUUAAUUUCUUUUUACUCAUUCAAAGUUAUCACAACCUAACUAAAUAUAAUAUUAUACAUUGGAAUUGAAAUUAUUGAUUUAUAUUUUUACAAGUAUGUUACUAUACAAAAAAGAAUAAAUUUGGAACUUAGUCUUAUAAUAUCAUCUAACUUAAAAAUCUAAUUUACAACUGCAAAAAAAAUAAUACAUUAUAUAAUUUACAAUAUAAUUAUAUUAAUAAAUAAUAUAUAAGGAGAAGUGAUCCAAUGCAACAGUUUUAUGGUGGAAUAAGAUGGUGAUGUGGUGUCAUAUCAUUUGUUAGAUAUAUCUAAAUUCAACAGUGAGAUGUGACUCAAAGCUCCACAAAUAACUCACCGAAGAAAGGCAUUUAAAAAAAAAAAAAUGGGGGAAACAGAGGCAGAGCCCUCUCCCAAGGCAAAGGCCUCACCAGGCUCGAACUCAUCCUCAAAGGGAAUCGUCUCCCACCAAGGAAAGCAAGUCCUAACCCAAAAAACCAGGUCUCUCUCUCUCUUUAGCAAAUCCUAACAAAAAAAACCAGAUACCCCCAUCUCUCUCUCUAAAUGCCUAAUACAUCAGUUACAGCAAAAAAAUUUGGUAACUCUCUCUCUAAAUGUGUGAAUAAGUAAAAUCAAAAGAAUUGUUACCGCUCUCUCUUUGUCUCUCUCAAAAUGUGCGAAUGGGUAAUACCCAAAAGAACAGUUACCCCUCUCUCUUUCUCUCUCUAAAUUCCCACCUGGGUGAUCAUACAUUUUAUGGAUUGUCAUUGCUCCAUUCUCAGAUCCCAAAAGCUCCAUUCUUAAUUUUGGAAUUGUGUUAAACACUAAUGAUUUCCUUUUUUUGUUCAUUUAUAAAAUUUAAGUCUAUUUACUCUAGUUGUUGCUUAGAUAAUAAAAAAAAAGAAGAAGCAAUUAUGGGUUUGUGUUCAAUUACUUAUUCUUUUGUUUUUGAGAUUCCUUUGCUUGAAAACCAUUUUCUCCAUGAUAUUGAUUUUUUGUUCUAUUACUUCUCAUGGAAAAAAGUUAUGACAAUUGCAUUUGAUUUAUGUAGGGAUUCUCUUGAUUUAUGCACGGAUUCUCUUGAUUUAUGCUUUAUUGUCUAAUUAUAGAUUUAUCGUAUGGGCUCUUAUUGCAUCUUCUGCCUAAGUUCUCAAAUUCAUUUAUGAUUUUUAAGUUAGUGUUUGACUAUGUUCAUCCCCAUUUUCUUAACUUUUGGGUUGUGAAGCACACCACAAAAUACCGAUUAAAAAACUAGAUGGUGCAGAAUAAGGCUAGAUUAAUGUAACGUGAAGAACCAACUCAUCUUCUGUAAGCAAUGUAGGUCAGUUGUCUUAAGAUUUUGUGCAUUACAUGAUGAAUUGUAUUAGAAGUUUCUUUUGUUAGCUUCCUUUGCUUCAUGGUGCUUGUGCUUUAUAUUUUGGGUGUUAUGGUGCUUGUAAUGGACUGGUUUUUUUUAUAAAGAUUUUCACAUUCCCCUUCACUUUGAUAUUUUUUUGAAAACCAUGUCAAGUUGACGUUCUCUUAAAGCUUAUUAUCUCUCUCUACAACCUCUAAUCUUAUAUAUGUUUGGAUAUUGUUAAAAUUGCAAAGUCCUCAUGAGAAUGAUGUUUCUUGCACAGGUUAUUAUUGCAUGCAUAUUGUCAUGGAAAUUGACAAAGAUCAAAGUCAUGCCCUCACUAAUGAUGUUGUGAGUUACGGUGAGAUGAAUGCUUUGGACAUUACUCCUAUUGUAGGUGACCAUGAGUAUACAGUUGAAGAUUUAGUGAUAGCUCCUCAUUAUGUUAAUGGUAAUGUUAGUUAUUUGUGGAGCUUUGAGUCAAAGCCCCUGCAUGAAGUUCGAAAUUUUCUGUCAUGAGGCACUGAAUAUGGAUGGUUUCAAUGAGUAUGCUUAUGAUAUAGUGAAUGCUUACGAAUUGUUGACUAUGCAUGAUUGUAAUAAGACAUGCCUAUGAGAUAUGAAUGAGCAUGGUUGUAAUAAGAUAUGCUUAUGAAUUAUUGAAUGCUUAUGAAAUGAUGAAUGCUCAUGUAAUAUUGAAUGAGCAUGGUUCAUGCCUAUGAAAAAGUGAAUGCUUAUGAAAUAGUGAAUACUUAUGAAAUAGUGAAUGUGCAUGGUUGUUAUAGGACAUCCUUCUGAAAUGAUGAAUGCUCAGGAGAUAGUGAAUGUCCAUAAAAUGAGACAUGACACAGAUGUGAUUUGAUAUGACAAGUAAUGUGAUAUGAAGCACUAUGCAACAGGUCAUCCAUUGGUAGUGUGAUGUGAUUUGAUAUGAUAAGUAAUGUGAUAUGAAGCACUACGCAACGGAUCAUCCGUUGGUAGUGUAUUGUGAUAUGAUACUGGUUAGGUGCCACGAUCUCGCCCUCCGGAUCUAGAUGAUCUGGCGGCACAUAUCUCGAGUUUCUAAGGAAUCCGGGACUUGAGAUCGCUCUCUCAGGAACCUUGCUCAAGAGCAAAGGCAGGUAUACCAACCGAUGAGAGCGGAAUUUAAGGUGGGUUCAGGACUUACUGGGGCUGGCUCGCGUGGGCGCCUUCUUAGAUCACAAAGAAAGCCCCUCAACUGCUUUAACUGAUUCGGAAGCGCCUGACCUGCGGUCACCUCAUUUUUUACACAGCACUAACAGAUUUAAUUUUCAAGACAAGUGGGCCUAAGGGACCCACCCUUGUCUUAGGGCAAUGUAGUUCACAUGAGAGGAUGAUGAAGUGGAGAGUUUGAAGAAAGGACGAAAAGGGAAGGGGACUUGACGAAGGGACGAGACUAGCAUGAUAGUCGGGCAGUGACCAACUCGGAGUGGUAACAAGACGGGCGUGGUACUCGGGACCAGCACGACGGCAAUACUACUCGAAAGCCGGACCGCUAUGGUGGUGUUAGACUGAGUCAAUCCUUAGUCAAGUGAGAAGAGGAAAGAAUGAAGAAAGGCGCGAAACGGCGAAGAGAGGGGGAUCCCGAUGGCUCUAAACGUUGCCACUCACGACCGUGGAGUAGCAGUGUCGCGGCCCUUGGACGGCGCUAGACACUACUGCUCAUAGCUAUAGGGUGAGUAGUGAACUACGAUCGGCGCUGGGCAUUGCCGUUGGCCACACGAGAAGGCAGCACACCCCUGCAUGGGCAGCAAUAGCCUUUUGUAAAGCACGUGGCAAUAGCCAAUUGCGAAGUGCACGGCGAUAGUUCUCUUUCUGAGGCAUACGGCAAUAGGCGUGGGACGCAAUAGAAAACUGUGGACGGCGAUGGGCACCGAACGCAAGAAAGAGGCUUGCGGUCAACGAUAGGCACUGAGCGCAUGAAGGAAACUCGCAAACGGCGAUAGGCACCGAGCGCGGGAAGCAAGCUCGUGGAUGGCGAUAGUCACCGAGCGCACAAAGGAAGCUCGUGGAUGGCGAUAGUCACCAAGCGCACGAAGGAAGCUCACGGACGGAGAUAGGUGUUGUUGCGACCCCUUGCGAGCAGCGAUAGACAUUGCCGUCUGCUAUAGGCAUGCAACAGGGGAAAACCCCUGCAGGUCGCAAUAAGUUUCGCCGUCUGUGCUCCUCACUAAGACGUCGAAGACACAUCUGAGGACGGCGAUGAGCAGCACCGUUUGCGAGCCUCGUCGAGAGACAGAGAUGAACGAACAAAAAGGGAAAGAAGUUUGCAAACUCGUGAAACUGCAGGAGGGAGAAAAAGAAAAGAAAGAGGCAUGCACGGCACUACCACUGUCGUGCAUGGCCUCUCUCGCCUUUGAGAGAGGCUCGGACAAAGAAGAAGAAGAGAGAGAAGAAGAAAAUAAAAUAACAAAAAAGAAGAGAGAAGAAGAUUUACCUCGAGCCUAGGGGUACCGAUCCAAAAGUUUCUCUCUCCUUCCUCUCUCUCUCUCAAUGUGACCCAAUAGUAAGAAAGAAAGGGAAUUAUAUUAAGUAAAAAUUCUCUUUUGGCGAAGGGUUCUAGCCUCUUGCGUACAAUGAUUGUACAUGGUAUAUAUAGAGUUGUAGCCAAACAUGAGUGGAUUUAUCAAAAUUAAACCUAAUUGCUAGAAAUUAAGAUUUAGCUGAAUUAAAAUAAAUUAAAAAAUAGGGUAUAAAGUCACAGAUUUGCCCCUUCCUAACAAUUUGUGGAUUUUCAAAAUAGUCCUUGUGCUGCCCUAGAACUUGUGUGAUCUUUCAUGGAUGAUCUGGGGUUGUUCUGCUACCCGUUUGAUCGAAAGAUAAUUGUUUUCUUAUAGGGCUCAGCAUGACAAUCAAUUUGAUACCAACUUCAAGCUUUUGAUGGUGUUUUUAGGCCACGAUCAUGUGACUUGAAAUUUGGAUGAAUCUUGAAACUUUAGAUCGAUAAUAUGCUCAUUCCUUGAUCUUUUUCUGUGAUUUCUUCAUUGGAUCACACUGAGCAUGUCGUCACGAUCGCGUGGCAAUAAACGCAGCUCGAUUCCAUGUUCAGACAAAGAUUUUGCAACUUUGGAGUUUUCGCUGAAAUCUGGAAUUUCGGUGUCAAAAUUCGCAGUCAUUUCAUCGGCUUUGUGUACGGAAUCCGACCCUUCAUCAUAUACGGGGUUUGGACUGGAGAUAACCCUAGACCUUAUGCACGUGAUGGAACUGGUUUCGCGUCAAUUUGGUUCGCGAGCGAUGUGAAUUGGCUGCUUGAUUUUCCUGCAACUUUCUUCACGGAUCAACAACUUAUCUUUAGCUUUUCUUCACGCUCAAGCGUUGUCGCGAGGCAUGCCACAUAUCAAAACGCUCGUCUCGACGAGACGAACACGCUCCAUCAAGUUUGAGCCCGAUCUGAUCUCGGAUGAGGGGAGAUAUAAGCAUCGAAAGUCACUAAGCGUGACUGCCCCUUUAAUGGAGUUUAGUUGCAGGCUCGCCGCACGGGAAUAGUGUGCGGCUCCUCUUGUUUCGGUCUUUCGCCUAUAAAGUUUUCCUAGAGUGUCUCUUUAUGUUGAAAUUUGACCCCUAGGGGUUUUCAACCGUGUUGGAUCCAAUGGCAGUUGUCCCAUAGCAAUUUGACGCACCAAAAAUAUAGUUUUAGUUAUAGGGUCCAUUUUAAGGUGUUAGAGGCUGAUUCUGUGAACUCGUUUCUUUGUCUUCACUGCUUUAGACCUGUCAAAAUGCAACGAAACUUGGCAGAAGGCUUUGAGAGUCUUUAUGAAGAUCUUGACCAGUUAUGGGGCCAUUCUGAGACUGUUGAAAUUCUACUGUAUGUUAGGCUUUAUUGACCAUGGACCCAUUAUGAUAAAAAUUGUCUUCCAACAGCAUGCCACACCGAUUGUUGUGCUUUGAGAGAAGCAAGAAGUACAAUCAUUUGGGAGAUUUCCCCUGGCUAGCCAUAGGACUACGUGAACGCUGAGGAGAUCCACACAAUGUUGUAACUAGGAUGCUCAGACGUCUGGAUGCAAUGUACGGAUCUAUUCGUGGAGGCUUUAGGGGGAGAAGAGACUUUUUGAGGGAUUUGCAGGAGUCCUCACCCCUCACCCUUGAGGGAAUAUUUGUGAUUCUGACAACUUGAGGAUUUUAUAGGGACCUCAUUGAUAAGAAUCAGGCCUAUCAAGCGGCCAAGUGCUAUGAACCUUUGGUCGGCAUUGUUUGCUGCUACACCAGGUUUUCUUUUGAUGAUCAGGGUAUCUCUGUAGGUCUCGUUCAGCGGGUCCAAUCGGCGUCUUCUUACCUGUCCCAAAGAUCUAGGGGGAUUUUGGCGAGGCGGCCUCAUGGGCCCCAUCCUGCCGGGUCCAGUCAGGGGCUUCUGACCUGUCUCAAAAAUUUGGGCCUGACGGCUAAGGAAUGUUUUUAGCAAGGCGAUCUCAUGGUGAGGAAUAACCCCGAAUUCUCUGGCAGGUUAGGCCCUGAUUUAUCAGUUUCUUACCUUCAUGGGGAUCUUUAGCAUUUUGGAGGGAUCUUUUAGUCGUCAUCCUCACCCUCAAGGACUCUCUUUGUUUUUGGAGGAAUCUUUUGGUAAUCGUCAUCACCCUCAAUGGCUCUUUUUAUUUUGGUAUUUGGGAGAUCUUGUGAGGCUCUCACUCCCGAGUGAGCCAUCUUGUGUUGUGAUUGGAUGCUGACAACUACAGAUUUUGUGUGGACUUCGCUAGUCAGAAUUACCCAUGUUGGCAAUUGGGUGUCGGCUGAGGCUGUGGUGCUGCGUCAACCCGCUUUUUGUUGGCCCAAGCGCCAUUUACGGGUUUUCACCUGGACUGGGGAAGUGGCACCUUAAAUACGGUUUCACCAACUUUCUUUUAUUCAGGGAUUUUUUAUCCAUGAACUUUCAGACAUGUCCACCCAUUCCAUCCGUUUUUGCUCACAAUGCCCUAUAGAUUGUCACCAUGCCCAGGUUUUUGUUUUCAUGGAACUCUUUUACUUAUGGUUUCGUGACCAUGCCCGUUCGUUAUUGUUACUCAUGGCGUUCUCUUGUCCAGGUAUACACCAUGCCCGUUAUAUGUGAAGGCAUGUUUAAGGUCAUGCCUUCGGGAACCGUGCGAACUAUAGUUUAGGGUCAUAUAGCUGGACCGUAGUGGAUAUGGAUGACAAUCUAUAAGGGCCAUGGGGUGAGAAUGGUGGUGAUUUGACUUACUUUGGGGAGAUGGCAUGAGGCUACCUAUGAAAAGUGGAAGAUGUAUGAAUGGAAGGUGAAAAGUGGUGACCCACUAGCUAAUGGCAAGUAUGAAUGGCGGGAUGGUUUUCCAUUUUGUGAGCAUGGGUGAGACUCACUUAGGAAUGAUGAAUAGUGGCAGUGAAGUGAAUGGGUUCAUUGAGGAAGCAAUGAAGGUGGUGUGCGCACAUGGAUGGGUCGGUUAGGGAAGGCGUGCGUGAAGAUGCAUGUAAAAGGAGGUGUGCGCAUAUAUGAGGGUGUGUUUAAGGUCAUGCCUCCGGGACCUGGGCAAAGCAGUUUAACGUCAUGCGGUCAGGACGUGCACUACGUUUUACGGUCAUAUAGCUUGAACCGUGGUUAUACUAUUUAAAGUCAUGCAACUAAGACCAUGCAUUUUAAGGUCAUGCAACUAGACCUCCACUACAGUUUAAGGUCAUAUAAUUUGGACCAUGCAGUUUAGGGUCGUGCACUUAGACCACAGCUCUGUAGUUUAAGGUCAUGUAGCACGGACCAUUGUAUGGGUCGCCAUGUAGGUAAAAGUCCAUGGAGGAUAAGUCUGUGGAUAGCAAUCUGACUCCCUAGGGAACAAGCAGAGAGAUUAAGAUGAAGAUGGCGGCUCCAUGCGGAGUGGCAAGCAGAAGCGGACUUAACUGGGGAUUAAGAGGGCAAGUGUGACUCCUUGGGGAUGAUGAGUAAUGGUGUGCAUGUAACUCUGAGAAUGAUAGGCUAGAGCACAGAUGAAACCCCAUUGGGGGUUGAAAAGAUAAGAAUGAUCGUAACUCCCUGGGGAUAGUGGGUUGCAAUAAGAUGUGACUCCUACUGGGGAUGUUGGUGUGAAACAAACCCUCUGGGAAUUGAAGGGGUAAGUGCGACCCCUUUUUAUUUGCAUACACCUACCUCCACUAGGGAUGUUGAUGAAAUACACCUAACGAAGAGGUGGUCCAUCUUACAAUUAAAGUCACGCGUAUGGACUAUUUGUCGCAAUGUGCGUUACAGUUUUAAGGUCUUGUAGCUUGGACCAUGGUUACGCAGUUUAAAGUCAUGCAGCUAGGACCAUGCAGUUUUAAGGACGUGCAACUAGAACGCCGUUACAGUUUAAGGUCAUAUAGUUUGGACCAUGGCGCUAAGCCUUUUAACGUUAUGCGGCCAAGACGUGCAUUAUGAUUUAAGGUCAUACAACUAGACCGUGGUCCUGCAAUUUAGAGUCAUACAAUGAGGACCAUGCAGUUUAAGGUCGUGCAACUAGACCUUUGCUACAAUUUAGGGUCAUAUAGUUUGGACCAUGCAGUUUAGGGUCGUGCACAUAGACCAUGAUUUUACAGUUUAAGGUCAUGUAGAAUGGAUCGUGGCUGUGCAGUUUAAGGUCGUGCAACUCAGACCAUUGCUGUGUAUUUUAAGGUCAUGUAACACGGACCAUGGCUGUGUAGUUUAAGGUCUUGCAGUGCGGACCAAGGCUAUGCAGUUUAAGGUCAUGCAGCACGGACCAAGGCUAUGCAGUUUAAGGUCAUGCAGCACAGACCAUGGUUAUGCAGUUUAAGGUCAUACAGCACGGACCAUGGUUAUACGGUUUCAAGUCAUGCAACUAGGACCAUGCGGUUUAAAGUCGUGCAACUAGACCUCUAGUACAGUUUAAGGUCAUAUAGCCAUGCAGUUUAAGGUCAUGCACCUAAACCACGACUGUGUAGUUUAAGGUCAUGCUGCACAGACCAUUCCCGUACAGUUUAAGGUCAUGCAAUACGGACCAUUGUUGUGCAUUUUAAGGUUAUGCAACACGGACCAUGGCUGUGCAGUUUAAGGUCAUGCAGCACGGACCAAGGCUAUGCAGUUUAAGGUCAUGCAAGAUGGACCAUGGCUAUGCAGUUUAAGGUCUUGCAGCUCAGACCAAGGCUAUGCAGUUUAAGGUCAUGCAGCACAGACCAUUGUGUGGGGGGAAUGUGACUUCAGGAGGAAUAGAGCUGUAAUUGGGGACUUGACUCCCUGAGGAGUGAGGCUGUGGUGCAGGGAAUGAACUUCUUGAAGAUGCAAAAUGCUGGUCCAGAUGGGAGUGUCAUGGCAUGCGCACAACACUAAGUCUUGGAUGGCGCACGCAGCAUUGGGCCUAAAUGACGCGCGCAUGACGUUAGGCCUGUUGUGAAGCCCACGGCGUUACCUUCCAGUUAGGCGCACGACGAUAAGUCCUCAGUGAAGUGUGUGGCGAUUAGUCUUCAUGAAGCACACGGUGAUAGCUCCCUUGACGAAGCGCACGACAACAACUCCUUGACGAAGCGCGCGGCGAUAGCCUCCAAGUGAAGCGCGCGACAAUAACUCUUUCAAGUCUUAGGCUUGACUCGCCCCGACCUAGUCUUAUUGCAGUCAAAAGCUAGGGACUGGAGCAUCAUUUCGAAUUUUGUGAAGGGCAGUUUGUGGCACAACUGAGUAUAAAGGAGGAAAAACCCCAUUUUACUGUUUUACCGAAGGGUAAAACAGUCGAAGAGAGUUUUUUGAAGAGAGAGCCGGAGCAUCCAUCAGGAGUUUCCCAGCUAGAGUUUUUCCUGCCAAAAUCUGCAGUACCCAAGCUUUCAAGAGUUUUCUGGCAAGCUUGAGCAGGUUGUGGGCCUUCGCAACGUGCUUGCGAGUGUUUUUGGAGAGUGCAAAGGUUUUUUGGGCAGCGAAGAGGGGCUUCUUAGAGCUUCGCCGAGACCUUUUCGGUGAAGCUGCGAGCGUCACAAUGGUGCUUUGCAGGAGUUUGAGUGCUUUUUCGGUAUUUCCACGAUUGCGGGUAGGUUGCAGAAGGGUCAGAGAGCUCUGACGGUCCUCUGGUUAUCGAAAUAGGAGGAGCAGUAGUGGGUUCACUGAAAUCACAGUGAAAUUUUUGUGAGUUGUGGCGAACUGCAAAAGUGCAAAAACAUGGAGAAGGGAAGCCCGUAGGGUCAUAGGGACGCUUUCUGGGGAUUUCGAUGAUUUUCACCGACUCUAGUAACAAGUAGAAGCCGGGGAAGGUUUUCCAGUGAACAAGAGUGAGUUCCUGACGAGAAAAGGGUGAAAACCUGAGGCGUCACGGGCCUACAACGAUCCGGAGAUGAACGGUUGUGGAACGGCAAACCGUCGGCAAGGAGCGAUGGUUGGGGAAACUGGAGAGGUGUGGGAGUUAAUGCCUCCCGGGAACUGGGAACAGUGGGAACUAGGGUGCCGCGAGGGCAUGCAUGAUAUUAAGUUGCAUGCAACGCUACCUUCACGCGUCUCUAAGUUGCGCACGGGAUAGCCACACUCGGGAGCAUGCCACUCGCGGUAAUGAUCUCGUGCGACGUUGGCCUGUCGGUAAUGAUGGUAGCACGCGGCGUUGAGCUGCGCAUGGUAGUGGUCACUUGUGGCAUUACGUCACACAUGGAGAUGAUCAUUCGUGGCAUUGAGUUGCCCUCGGCGAUGCCUUGUGGGGGCCAAGAGUGAUGACAAAUGAGAAGGCUCAGUUACUAUGGUCUGUUGGAAGUCAAGUCCUCCAGCAUAACAGUGAAGUCCAUGUUGUUUUGGAGGAAGGGAAUCUAUCAUGGGCCAGCUCCUUGCCAGAGAAGUCUGCUUUGUAUGUCAGAUGGAUUGAAGCGGACUUGAAAAUGAUUGGCUUCUUCUUUUGUCCUGUAACCAUCCUCUUUGAGAACACCCGGCAGAUGAACUGAAGCUGACUUCCAAGUGGUUUUGCUUCUUCUUCAUGAUAAGGGCGUUUCUUUUUUACUUGUAACUGUCUUCUUAUCCUUAGAUGCAAGAGCUUUGUAACCUCCCUAAUAAUGGGCUUGCGUGUAGCUUGUAACCUUUUCUAAUGCAAUGAAAGAAAUGAAUUUCCUUUGGGUCGACUUAAUGUUCUUCUUUUCCAUUUCUUCUUUUUACUGCAUGCCCUGCAUAUCAAGGAUAGUACUUCUUUAAGUAUCACCCAUUGAUAGGGGGCAUCUCUUCUCCUCCAUCCGAGUUUGCCAGUAUAUAGGCCCCAUUUGGUGUGAUCUUUUUUACUAUGAAUGGACCUUCCCCCUUGGGUUCGAACUUUUCGGUGUCCAUGCAUGACAAUUGGUCUCUUGACUGCUAAGAUUAGAUCUCCACGGACGAGAGCGAACCUUGACAGAUUUGUCAAAGGCUCUCUUCAUUCUCCCCGGGUUGAGCUCGAGGUUCUACUGGGCCCCUAGUCUCCUUUUGUCAAGGGCAUCCAACUCCUGAUAACGGAGCUUGACCCUCUCAUCUUCGGUUAGUCCUUGAUGUAUAGUGACACAGAGUGAAGGUAUUUGAACUUCGAGGGGUAAAACCGCCUCACCUUCAUAGAGCAGGGAAUAAGGGGUAGAGUUUGUAGCAUUGUGAGUGGUGGUGCGAUAGGCCCACAGAGCUUCAGGCAGCUUCUCAUGCCAAUUCUUCCUUGACUCCAAAACUGACUUCCGGAGCACCCUGCACAAGGUUUUGUUGAAUGCCUCAACUAAAUUGUUGGCUCCAGGGUAGUACUUGGUCAAGUAUUUCCACUCGAAGCCAAACUAGUUGACUAGGCGAUCAACGUGAUGGCUUUUGAACUGAGGGCCAUUAUCAGAGAUUAUUUGGUCCGGAACCCCGAACUGUUAUAUGAUGUGGAGACGCGCGAAGUUGGCCACAAUGGUCCUAGGAACCUGCUUGAGAGGGACUGCUUCAGUCCACUUGGAAAAGUAAUUUGUCACUACUAAAAUGAAGGCAUGACCCAAGGUAGAAAGAGGGUCAAUGGGUCCUACAAUAUCCAUACCCCACUAGGAAAAGGGCCAUGAUGUCACUGUAGGAUGGAGAGGCUCCGGGGACUAAUGAAUGAGGCUUGAGUGAAUUUGGCACAUUUGGCAUCUUUUAGCAUAGUUUUGGGCAUCAGCCACCAUUGAAGGCCAAUAAUAGUCAAGCCUGUGUAUGCGCUCAUAGAGCUUAGGGCUGGACUGAUGCAACCCGCAGAUAUCUGAAUGCACUUCUUCGAGUACUUUGCUUGCUUCUUGUGUAUCGAUGCAUCUGAGGAGAAUUCCAUCAAAUGAUCGACGAAAGAGAACAUCCCUAUCGAGAAGGGUGUACUUGGUAGACAUAAGUCGUAUACCAUUGUGUUCCACCAGAUCUUCAGGCAGCCUUCCAUGUUUUAUGAAAUUCAUGACGGGCUCCCUCCAAUCUCCUACUUGUUCUACCUCUACACACAUUGGUUCAAAGGAUUCAGGCUCCCGCUUCUCAGCUUUGGAUUCUUUACCUCAAGACAUUUCCUGCUCUACCUUAAUGACAUCCUUGGCAGUGAGGAGUACUCCAAACGGAUAAGGCAGGCAUUCGGGGAAGAUAUCUCUCUCUUCAUCUGCUUCAACUUCGGCUCUCAAGUCGACAUGUCUCCAUUCUGUUACCCAGAUAGGUGUGGGCCUGAUGAGGAUAAUUGAAUGGUAGCCUCGAGCUUUAAGAGCGCAUCGGCCUACGAGUUCAGCCUCCUAGGGAUAUGACUCAGAGAGAAAUCAUCGAACUGGGCCAUAUAAGAUUUGGUCAUGUUAUGAUAAGGCUUAAGGGUAUCCUUCCGCGUGUCAUAAAUCCCUUUAAGCUACCGGAUGACCAGCUCAGGGUCGUCGAAGAUGUUUAGCUGCCCCAAGUCUAGCUCUUGGGCGAUCUCCAAUCUGAUUAUGAGGGCUUGAUAUUCAACUUCAUUAUGAGAAAAUGCCUCUACAAAUGAGAAGGAUAGAGGAAUCAUUCCACCGUCGGGAGUCAGGAACACGACUCCGACACGCCCUCUAUCAGACUGGAAUGCACCGUCGAAAUACAUCUCCCACAGCCAAGUUAGCACCAUAUAGAAAACUUUUUCAUCGUGGAGAUCAGUCGACACAGGAGAUUCCGAAGGGACUGGGUGAGCCGCGAGAAAUUCUGUUAAGGCUUGACCUUUGACUGCCUUCUGUGGUACAUACGUGAUGUCAAACUCCAUCAACAAUAAUGCCCACUUGGCCAAGUGUCCUAACAGACAUGGUUGGGUCAUAAGGAACUUGACCGGGUCUGCCUUGGAGAUUAACUUGACCUCAUGACCGAGCAAGCAAUGGCAGAGCUUCUGUACUGCAAAGAUCAAGGCUAUUAUGUUGUCGUCGGAAUUGGACGUGCGUAGGGGGUAUUUUAGGUCUUGCCCCGGCUUUGACCAUUGUGGGGUGCUUUUAGCGUUGUCAGCCAUAUUGGACAACUCUCGAGCUGUUGAUGACUCAGGGAAGUCCGCCUGGUUGGACGCCAGGAUAAGGCGAGCUGUGCCUGGGAUGAAGUCUUAUAAGGUUGGCAUUGGAGGAAGAGGGCAGAUAAAUUCUUCCUCGACUAGUGGUUGAGGAAAACGAUUCCUUCGACGAGUGGACCUGGGUGCUCGUUUCCUUUUGGAUCCUUGGGGAGGGGUUUGGUUCAUCUGCUUGGGCUAAUGAGUAACCCUGGCUUGGUGGAUUGCCUCACGCUUCAAGAAUUUGAGCCUACUUUGUCCAUGGUAGACUUUUCAGGGCUGAGAAGUAGAAGGUUAUGGAAGGUACGAGGUAUCCUCAUAAGGGACCUGCAUUGGGACUUCCUCUUGGACAAGAGUGACGGCUUGGAAGCGCUCUGAGAGAACGGUGCAAACAAUGUGGCCUUCCUGUACCUUCUCAGCGACUACAACUUCAAACCCAAAGCAUUCUUUCAGCUAGUGGCCUCAUACUUGGUGAUAUGGACACUAGAGGUUUUCUGUACCCUGGGCAAGACACUUAGGCUGCCUGGCGGGCAUGGGAGUGAUAAGUCCAUGUUGGAGCAUUGCUUCAAAGAGGGCCUGUAGAGGAUCUAGCGAUUCCCUGGACUUGUGUCGGGAGGUCUUCUUACGCUGGUGGAAGAGGGACUUGAGGGUGUCCUUCUGGGUUACUAUGAGCUUCUUGGCAUUACUACAUCUUCUUUGCCAAGAGCUCAUGGAAGCCAGUGCAUUCGCUCAGGUCAUGGCCUCGUAUGAGAUGAUACGAGCACCAGAGAUUCUUAGUUCUCGAAGGGAGAAACUGGGGCUACCUUGUCGGCUUUGGCAUGAUGUGUCCUAUUUCGAGCAUUAUGGAAAAUAGUGCAUGGAGGAUGGCGGCAUCUUUUUAGAUUGUGACUAUGUGAAAAGCCUCAGUUGCCCCGAACGCUUUCUUUAGCUCUUCAAACUUUAUUUAUUGUUAAUAAGGGCUUUGAUUGUGUCUUUGAGCUUAUAGCUUGUUCUUCAGUGUUGACCUCUGGCAGUUGGAUCAUGUUUUGCUCGAGUAGUAGUCGAAGCAAUGCAAGAACCCACUCCUUGUCAAAAGGAUACACCUUAUUCUAGUGAUGGAUCCAUAAGUCACUUCGAUUUAUAUUUUAGGGGGCGAGACCUGAUUGUAGGACUGCUGCUUGCCCCCGGCCUGGGGCAUCUGUGCCUUGGAGAGUCCAAGGUUUGGGGGGUAGCUUUGUUAGUGUCGUCACGGUGACGGCCACACUGAUCACCGCUUUUUGCCGGUUACCCCGACUGUUGGAGUGAGAUUCGAGUCGGAGGGUUGCUGACAAGAUCUGCCAUGGUGCUUGGACAGACCCUCAAUACGAACUGCCUUAGAGAUGAGCUAUGACAUGGAGGGUGGAUUGGAGGCCUCGACAUGCAGGGCGAUCUUGGGACGUUUGCAGGUCCGGACAGCUUCCUUUUCAGUCAUGAGAGUGGAAUGAAAGUUUGCCAGCUCUCUCCAUCGGGCGAUGAACUUGUCAACUGGCUCAUCAGGGUCUUGAGUCAAAGUGAGUAGCUCAAUAGUUUCUACGUUCCUUUGGACUUCAUCGAAGCAUUAGUAAAACAACUGCUUCAUUUCCUACCAGGUGUGCACCAAGUUUGGAGGCAGCCGAACAUACCACUGGAAGGCUGGCCCUUCGAGAGUCUCGACAAACUGAUGGAGGAGGGGUCGCCAAGACGCUUGGAAGUGAGCAGUAUGCUGGUGCGGGCAUUGAACAAGGGGAGGUUCCCUUUUUGAUAGUUCGAGGGAAACGACACUUGGUCGAUGUAUGAGGGAUAAAAAUUUUGGUAAAGCGGCGCCUCUUGCAUGCCCAAGACGUUGUUCUUGAUGUUAUGGGCUACCAUGGCAUCUAUGUCAGUUUGGGAAACCCCGCAAGAAGGAGAGUUGUCUUGGCAGACCGGUGGGGGAGUUUGUCUAGGAAUUGUGUCUUCACCAGACGGGGAAUCGGUCUCAUGGUGAGAAGAAGGGGACCUGGAGGCCUCUAGACGAUCCAUCUUUUCGAGGAUGGACUGCAUCAUUACCUCAAACCUGUUCAUCUGCUCUUCUUGGGUGUCGUCCGGCUCGUUGUUCACCAUGACACUGACCAUUUCUUCUUGAGGGUCAGAGCCAAGUGGAGUAGUGGACUGUAGGGCUUGGAGAGUCGUACAAGGCAAGUCGGUCUGUAGGGGCUCAGCAUGCCUCGACUGGACUCGAGCCUUGUACGCUGACCUUGUGAGGAUCGAUUCUCAACGAUCCUGGGAUCGUGGCUUCUGGACAAUGAUCACCAAGCAAUAUUCUUGGACUUGCUCAGGCUCUGGGAUCCGCAAAGGGAAGAAGGGAUUAUGGGGCAGGAGGUCACUAAGGGUGGUGACCUCGACUGCCUUAGAGGCUUCUCUGGUCAGGAUCUGCAGGCCUCUCUUCUGCUUAGUCUUGAGGCUGCUGUGGACUUCACCCUAGAACCGGGUCUAGGAUUUAGAUUGCCCCACUUUUCUUGAGUAUGAGAGGGAUGUGUCUAUUAAUUGGGGCAAAGAGUGGGGUCCAAGGACAAAAGGCAACCUGGGUUUCUACCUUGGAGGUUGGAGGCAUUCGUCUAACAUCAAGUAGUUGCUCUGAAUUCCCUUGUGGGGCUCGGAUGCAUGCCUAACUUGAGGCGGCUAACUCAAAAUGGUACUCUUAGGGAAAACCUUUGAGUACCAGGUCUCAAGGUGGUUGCCUAGUGAAGGAGGAGUGACAGAAGAAAGAUUUGGCUCAUGACUCUGCUUGAGUCAGGAUCGGGGAGGAACCUGCAAAGCCGGUGCAUGUGCAACUUUAGGAUUAGCCGUCCGGGUGACCUGGGGGUCAGCCGGGCUUAGUCAAUGAGUUCGACCUUGAGAGGUCAUAACCCAUGAGCUUGUGUUUGUAAGGGACUGGGUGGGAGCCUAUCUCUCACAAGAUGAAGCUGUGUGGUGAGAGGGAGGACAAAGUGGUCGACCCUCAUGUGCUCGAGCGGACGCAGAACUAACGCUACCCCGAGCUGUGGGAUGCAUGGUGCGCGCAGGGUUUGGCCCGAGAAGGCCUAGCCUUGAACGCGAGUUCGAAACAACAUGAAAGUUGCCCCGAGUUGUGGCUCGAGUGGAUGGACCACGAGCCCUUAGGUGUGUGUGUGGGGUGGAGACCUCAGGAUCUCCGCCUCAGUGUGCCAAGGCUCCGGGUGUAGAGGUUCGAGGUAGUGAAGGAGUUCCGGGGGUAGCCUUACAGUGGCCCUGAUAAACGAUGGCAACUUUCUUACCUUUCGUGAGAGUGGAUAGGCCAGCCUUCCGACGUACCUCAGCAAUAUGACUGGCAAGGGACUUGCCAAUAGCACGGUGCAUGUUGUGUGUGGUAGCGGAGGUGCUACCAAUGCGAGGGGCAUUGGUGGAGGGUCCACCAGAGCGAGGAAGCGAGGAGUCAGGGACCUUUAAGUCCCCUCUCGCACCAACCCAAGAAAGAACCUGGGAGCCGGACCGUGAGUCCUGACUCAGAAGGAGUGUAGGGAAGGAGGCUUGAGUAGCUCGCUUCCCUGAGACGAUCAUGAGUGCAGGGAGGAGAAAAUCCCCGACUCGGAUAAACAGGUUGAAUAACUCGAUGCUAUAGAAAGUAGUGCAGAAAGUAAAAGGUGAUACUGAUCAAACAAGAGCGAACCGACGAAGGAGUAAUAAGUCCCCAGUGGAGUCGCCAAGCUAGUUAGUUGCCUCGAUCUUGCCCUCCGGAUCUAGAUGAUCUGGCGGCAUGUAUCUUGAGUUUCUAGGGAACCUGGGACUUGAGAUCGCUCUCUCAGAAACCUUGCUUAAGAGCAUGGGUGCCCACUUAGAUCACGAAGAAAGCCCCCCAGCUGCUUUGGCUGGUUUGGAAUCACCUCCCUUGACUUUCGAUCACCUAGUUUUCUGCACAGCACUAACAUGGUUAGUUUUCAAGACAAGUGAGCCAAAGGGACCCACCCUUGUCUUAGAGCAAGCAAUGUAGUUCAGGUGAGAGGGUGAAGUGGAGAGUUUGAAUAAAGGACGAAAAGGGAAGGGGACUUGACGAAGGGACGAGACUAGCAUGAUAGCCGGGCAGUGACCAACUUGGAGUGGUAACAAGACGGGCGUGGUACUCGGAACUAGCACGAUGGCAAUACUACUCGAAAGCCAUACCGCUAUGGCGGUGCUAGACUGAGUCAACCCUUAGUCAAGUGAGAAGAGGAAAGAAUGAAGAAAAGGAGCAAAACGACGAAGAGAAGGGGGUCCCGACAGCGCUAGGCAUUGCCACUCACGACCGUGGAGUAACAGUGUCACGGCCCUUCGAUAGCGCUAGACGCUACUUCUCAUGGCUAUAGGGUGAGUAGUGAACUACAGACGGCACUGGGCAUUGUUGUUGGCAAGACGAGAAGGCAGAACACCACUGCGUGGGCGGCGAUAGCCUCUUGUGAAGCACGCGGUGAUAGCCAAUUGCGAAGCCCACGGCGAUAGUUCUUUCUGAGGCACACGGAGAUAGGCGUGGGACGUAAGAGAAACUUGCGGACGGCGAUGGGCACCAAACGCACGAAAGAGGCUUGCGGUCGGCGAUAGGCACUGAGUGCACGAAGGAAACUCGCUGAUGGUGAUAGGUACCGAGCGCUCAAAGGAAGCUCGCGGACGGUGAUAGGUACCAAGCACGCGAAGGAAGCUCGAGGGGCGAUAGUCAACGAGCGCGCGAAGGAAGCUUAAGGACGGCGACAGAUGUUGCCACGACCCCUUGCGGACGGCAAUAGACAUCGUCGUCUGCGAUGGGCACGCAAUAUGAAAAAACCCCUAUGGGCAGCAAUAAGUUUCACCGUUUGUGCUUCUCACUGAGACGUCGAGGACACAUCUGCAGACAGCGAUGAGCAACGCCAUUUGCGAGCCUCCUCGAGAGACAGAGAUGAACGAACUUAAGGGGAAAGAAGUUCGCACAUGGUGCUGCCAUGGCCAUGCGUGACCCGUGAAACCGUAGGAGGGAGAAAAAGAAAUAAAGAGGCAUGCACGACACUGUCACUGUCGUGCAUGGCCUCUAAGAGAGGCUCAGGCGAAGAAAAAGAAGAAGAGAGAGAAGAAGAAAAAGAAGAAGAAAAGAAAAUAACAGAAAAGAAGACAAAGAAAGAUUUACCUUGAGCUUAGGGGUACCGAUCUAAAAGUUUCUCUCUCCUUCCUCUUUCUCUCAACGUCACCCAACAAUAAGAAAGAAAGGGAAUUCUAUUAAGUUAAAAUUCUCUUUUGGCGAAGGGUUCAAGCCUCUUGCAUACAAUGAUAGUACAUGGUAUAUAUAGAGUUGUGCCCAAACAUGGGUGGAUUGAUCAAAACUAUACCUAAUUGCUGGAAAUUAAGAUUUAACUGAAUUAAAAGAAAUUAGAAAAUAUGGUGCAAAAUGACAAAUUUGCCCCUUAAUUUGUGAAAUUCCAAAACAGUCCUUGUGCUGCCCUAGAACUUGUGUGAUCUUUCAUGUAUGAUCCGGGGUUGUUCUGAUACUCGUUUGAUCGAAAGAUGAUUUUUUUCUUGUAAGGCUCGACAUGACGAUCAAUUUGAUACCAACUUCGAGCCAUGGAUCGUUCUUUUAGGCCACAAUCAUGUGACUUGAAAUUUGGAUGAAUCUUAAAAUUUCGGAUCGACAGUGUGCUCGUUCCUUAAUGUUUUUCUAUGAUUUCUUCAUUGGAUUACACUGAGCAUGCCGUCACGAUUAUGUGACAACAAACGCAGCUUAAUUCCAUGUGCAGACGAAGAUUUUGCAACGUUGGAGUUUUGGCUAGAAUUUGGAAUUUCGGUGUGGGAAUUUGCAGUCCCUUCAUCGGCUUCGUGUGCAGAAUCCGACCGUUCUUCGUGUAUGGGGUUUGGACUAGAGAUAGCCCUAGACCUUACGCAUGCAAUGGAACUGGUUUCGUGUCGAUCGGGUUCAUGACCUGCGUGAUUUGGCCGCUCGAGCGAGGUGCAACGCUGUUGAUUUUCCUGCAACUUUCUUCACGGAUCAGCAAUUUCUCUCUAGCUUUUCUUUGCGCUUGGCCGUCGUCGCGAGGUGUGCCACAUAUCGAAAUGCUGGUCUCGCCGAGACAACACGCUCCACCAAGUUUGAGUGCGAUCCGAUAUUGGAUGAGGGAGAUAUAAGCGGUGAAAGUCACUUUUCGUGACUGCCCCUUGUAUGGAGUUUAGUUGUCAGGUGACCGUAUGAGAAUAGUGUGUGGUUCCUCCUGUUUCGAUCGUUCAUUUAUAACCUUUUCCUAGAGUGUCCGUUUAAGCUGAAAUUUGACCCUUGGAGGUCUUCAACUGUAUCGGAUCCAAUGUUGAUGGUCCCACAGCAAUUUGACACACCAAAAAUAUAGUUCUAGUUAUAGGGUCCAUUUCAGGGUGCUAGAGGCUGAUUCUAUGAACUCGUUUAUUUGUCUGCACUGCCUUAGACAUGUCGGAAUGCGACGAAACUUGGUAAGAGACUUUUGAGAGUCCUUGUGAAGAUCUUGACCAGCUCUGGGGCCAUUCGGAGACUGUCAGAAUUUCCACUGUAUGUUAGUCUUUAUUGACCGAGGACCCAUGAUGAUGAAAAAUAUCUUCCAACAGAUAGUAAUGUGAUAUCUGAUAAGACCUAUGUGGUCAUCUAUGUGACAUGUGAUAUUUGAUUGAUUGGCAUGUUAUGAGCGUAUCGCAUGACCAUAUUGUGAAUGUGAUUGAUUGGCAUGCUUUGAGCAUAUUGCAUGACCAUACUGUGAUAUGUAAUUGAUUGGCAUGCUUUGAACGUAUUGUAUGGUCAUACUGUGAUAUGUGAUUGAUUGGCUUGCUUUGAACAUUUGCAUGACCAUACUGGGAAUGUGAUUGAUUUGCAUGCUUUGAGCGUAUUGCAUGACCAUACUGUGAAUGAGAUCUCUUGGCAUGCUUUGAGCGUAUUGCAUGACCAUGAGGUGAUAUGAGAUUUAUCGACAUGCUUUGAGCGUAUUGCAUUACCUGACAUGUGGCCUCUUCGAUUCGCCCAAUGAUAGGACGGGAGUCGGGGUAGGUGAUGAUUGGGUGGUACCUAGAAGGUAUAACAAUCCUAACCAUGGUGGCAUAAGGGAUAGUUUUUUUGCAAGGUUAUCGCCUAUCGAAAGCCCCAAAGCGUGUUGGAGACUGUGUAUGUGUAUGUGAAAGCAAUACAAAGUGACAAAGUGGGUCAUCUACUUAUCAUUGUUUUCUCUCCCAAGUCAUGGUAGAAGUCUUAAGCAAUGGGAUUGGCUUAGCCUGAUGAAUAGGGCUUCUACUUCAAGAGUAGGCAAAGUAGGGAGUGAGUUAGUGGAAAUGGUUGUUAUUCACCUUAAUAUGUUAAUUGCCAAGAUUUAUAUAGUUGCAUGAUUUGAUUGACCCCCACAUCAUAUCAUAUAUGAUUAAUCUGAUUUGUUAUCGCUUCACUAUGAACCAUGCACGACACACUAAUGAAUAUGAUUAUGACACAUGACUCAUGUUUUAUAACAACAGUAUAGAACCUUGUACAUUGUUGUAAAUGAUAUUCAUAGGCUGGGAAGCAUGAUGUUUGAUCUACUUACUGGGAUUUAUAGCUCAUUUUGUUUGCUUCCAUCCUUGUAAAUUACUAGCUGCAGGUCGAGGACGUACGGGUAGUGUUCGUUACUGGCGGUUGAAGACCCGAGCUUGGCGAGAUAACUCCCUUUAGAUUUUAGGUGUUAGAUGGUCGUUGGCCUUGUAAUUGUUGUUUGUGAAGUUAUGUAUUUUGUUGUUGAUGCCUUGGACUAUUUGUAUAGAUUAAGUUUGGUUUUAAUUUAUCCAAUUUUUGUUAUGGUUCUA
RNAcentral lists this long non-coding RNA (22151 nucleotides) under Amborella trichopoda. Its description in RNAcentral is "long non-coding RNA (ATRI_LNC000120)". Lineage: Eukaryota; Viridiplantae; Streptophyta; Magnoliopsida; Amborellales; Amborellaceae. The record is from RNAcentral.